CCUCUUGGAAAAGAGAACCAUUGAGGGUGAGAGUCCUGUUUGUCAUCUGUANUCCAAUGUGUUCGGCAUACGUUCUAAGAGUCACGUUCCUCGGGAUUGGAGCGCAAACUGGGUGGUAAAUUUCAUCUCAAGCUAAAUAUGGGUUCGAAACCGAUAGCAAACAAGUACCAUGAGGGAAAGAUGAAAAGGACUUUGAAAAGAGAGUUAAAAGUGCCUGAACUUGCUGAAAGGAAAGCGGAUGGAACCAGUGUUGCUUGGUGAGAUUGUUGCGCGCUAUGGUGAUAGCCUGUUGCUUCAGCGCAAGCGUGGCUGCGGGUUUUGAUCUUGCUGCGCGUGAUGCUUCUUGCCUUGUGUGUCACCGUCGGUUCGGUGGUGGGGAUAACCCUUGGGACAUGGGAACUCGGCCCUGGCUGUGUGAACGUGCCUUGUGGAACCCACCGCUGAACCGCAAAGCUAAUGUGCGGUCGCGCUGCCCCGCUUGGUGAGGCUGCCUGCGUCUUCGCUGCGCAUUCGCCUUGUUAGGGCACCUUCUGCACACGACCAUGGUGACUGAAUGGUUCUAUUCGACCCGUCUUGAAACACG
This 583-nucleotide ribosomal RNA is filed under the name Gymnodinium sp. 1 AR-2015. RNAcentral describes it as "LSU rRNA". It matches the Rfam family "Eukaryotic large subunit ribosomal RNA", at positions 186 to 663 of the family's 3401-position model. Lineage: Eukaryota; Dinophyceae; Gymnodiniales; Gymnodiniaceae. The record is from RNAcentral.